RNAcentral lists this ribosomal RNA (597 nucleotides) under uncultured bacterium. Its description in RNAcentral is "bacterial SSU rRNA". It matches the Rfam family "Bacterial small subunit ribosomal RNA", at positions 254 to 865 of the family's 1533-position model. The record is from RNAcentral.
GGGGUAAGAGCCUCCCAAGGCGACGAUCGGUAGCUGGUCUGAGAGGACGAACAGCCACACUGGGAUUGAGAACGGCCCAGACUCCUACGGGGGGCAGCAGUGAGGAAUUUUCCGCAAUGGGCGAGCAGCCUGACGGAGCAACGCCGCGUGCAGGAGGACGCUUUUCGGAGUGUAAACUGCUUUUCUGUGGGACGAGCGAGGACGGUACCACAGGAAGAAGCCCCGGCUAACUACGUGCCAGCAGCCGCGGUAAUACGUAGGGGGCGAGCGUUGUCCGGAGUUACUGGGCGUAAAGGGCAUGCAGGCGGUCGGGCGCGUUUGGUGUGACAGCGCAGGGCUCAACUCUGCGAGCAUACGAAAGACGGCCUGACUUGAGGGCUCGAGAGGGACACGGAAUUCCGGCUGGAGUGGUGAAAUGCGUAGAGAUCCGGAGGAACACCGAAGGCGAAGGCAGUGUCCUGGCGAGUAUCCUGACGCUGAGGUGCGAAAGCCAGGGGAGCGAACGGGAUUAGAUACCCCGGUAGUCCUGGCCGUAAACGAUGACCACCAGGUGUGGGAGGUAUCGACCCCUUCUGUGCCAAAGGGAACCCAUUAAGU